This is a long non-coding RNA of Gadus morhua (Atlantic cod), 1919 nucleotides long. The record is from Ensembl. NCBI's taxonomy places the organism in Eukaryota, Metazoa, Chordata, Actinopteri, Gadiformes, Gadidae.
UCGUAGCGACUAGGUUGAUAUUGACGGUCUAUCACGUCUAUUAUGCUUUAGUGUGACGCAGUCACAAUGAUCUCUCAAUAAACAGCUAAAGUUUAAAAGGCAAUUGAAGUGAUGGAUGAGUUGUGUUUGUGUCCAGGUCUCCAGUCUACUAUGGAUGAGGUGAUAGAGGAGGGGGGUCCUACCUCUAAGACCACUCUGUCUGGGGAAAAUGGCCGCCGGAGCAAAGCUAAGAGAAGGAAGCAGCAGAGAGCAGACUCCCCUGGACCCAGCUGUGUCUAUGGAUAUACCUCCUGAAUUUAAAGAUGGACGGCCCUCCAGAGACGAGAGAAGGAGGCAGGAGAGAGCAGACUCCCCUGGACCCAGCUGUGUCUCCAUGAGGAGUGACUGGUCUAUGGGUAUACCUGAUAACUUUAAAGAUGGAUGCCCCUCCAGAGAGGAGAGGUAGGAGUUUCAAACGGACGAUAAAAGAGACAAGUUAGUUGUUAUCAGACUCUACUGAUACUGAUGUUUACUAGUCAGGAAGAAUAUGUGUGUGUGUGUGUGUGUGUGUGUGUGUGUGUGUGUGUGUGUGUGUGUGUGUGUGUGUGUGUGUGUGUGUGUGUGUGUGUGUUCUCCACAGACACCAGGAGAGGCCAAUGGUUACCAGUGCUCCGUCUGUACAGCAGCAUCAAACAGAGUUGGAGAUGAACCAGGAGGAACUGGCUGACACACUGUGGGGCGCACAGGUCAAUGAUGAACGUGUGCAAAGUGGGGGUGUGGCUAUGGAGACUGCUGAUUUAAAGGCUGUACAACCCGGACCCCACUGGCUUCAAGAGUAUGCCAUCUAUCUGGCCGGAUUGAAUCUGUCCUUCCUACACAUCGGAGAGGACAGUGAGCUGGAGGUGGACAUUGCUAUGAGAGAUGACGGAUGGCCUGUAUCAAUACAGAUCCGUUUAAACCCUGCAUCGCUGGCUGUUCUGCGAUUUACCACGGGGCUCUGUGUGGUAGCCAUCAUCAGCCAUCAGAAGCAAGCGGCCUGCUGGGGAUGCCAAUGUGAUUGCCCAAGUCAACGACGCCAUUCAUGCCUGCAGGGAGCGACACAUCAUCACUACGAAUCCCACUACCAUGACAUUUGUGUUAUGCUGGACAGACACCCCUUCCUGUUACUUUUAGAAACUGUUUUAAAGAAGACUACAGGGUUGACUGUGUCCCCAGGAAAAAUCUUUGGUGUGGUCGAAUCUUAUCUAUGUGAUUUAAUAUGCAAUACCUAUGAUACCGAAAAACUGGAUUUAAUGACCACCGAAGGUGUGUCCGAUGAACAUCUGCUUCUGAUAUAUGAAGCCAUACAAAUGUGGCGUCCUACAUUGUCAUUAGGCAAACCAAAGCCUGUUGUCGGGUGGCGUUUAUAAUGGGGAUUUUGUUUUCUUAUGCGUAUGAUGCGGAUAGCAAGUCUGUAUCAGAUAGACUAACCGCUUUGAUGUAUGCUACCAUAGAAAAUGAUACGUUUGUCCAUCAUAAUGCUUAUAUCAAAUGUAUGUAUAAGGAUUGGAAUGAUUUGGUCACGAAAUUCUUGCAUGACAAACCUACUGAUCUAAUGUUAGCUGAAAUAUUUAACCAUUUCUCCGACGGGGAGUGUUUUACUGUCGGUCAUGUAAUGUGUAUAUGUGCUUUUGUGUCGGAUGUCUUGAAGAUGAAUAAGGCCUCAUACGCAGAGUGUAUUAGUACUGCUCGAAUGAUGUCUUGUAAAAUGGUGCAGAAAAAUAAAUUUGCUUGUAAACUAUAUCUGAACAUUGUUUUGAGCGGACAGACAUUUUAAAUAAAAGGAUGGAUAACUCUGAUCAUUGUUUCAGUAUUCGUUUUUUUGUCGCAGGCAUACGACAUGGAUAAACGGCUGCAUAAGACUUAUUAUGAUCCCUCCGGACCAGGUGGUUACGGCGGCA